This 879-nucleotide long non-coding RNA is filed under the name Gallus gallus (chicken). RNAcentral describes it as "long non-coding RNA NONGGAT003404". Lineage: Eukaryota; Metazoa; Chordata; Aves; Galliformes; Phasianidae. The record is from RNAcentral.
CUUCUUCUGACCCUUCUUGUAGGUGUCAUCCCCCCCCAAAAGGGAGCACCUGAGAAUCCCUGAAGCCUCUGACCAAUACAGAAAAUGUUAUGCUGAGGGACAGAGCCAGUAGUUUCAACCAUAGCAGCAGCAGAAGCAAAAGAGAGAACCAGAUUUUGACCGGUCAGAGAGGUGAAGCAUCACCACUGUACAAAUAGGAUCCUCCAGGUUUUUCAAAAGAAGGGGAGGAACAGUUGUAUGUCAGCAGACUGAAGAGGUAUUUGGCAGAGUUUGAAUCAGCUCUAAAGUUGAGCAGUAGCCAAGAGCCGUCCUUCCAGCCCCACACUGUGCAGACCUGGGAGAAAGGAGGAAGUGGUCCUCAUCCUAAGGAAUUUAAACUGUGAGAAAAGUGGUGAUGAGAUACAAGUCAUGCUAAUUUCAAGUGUUAAUGAAGCAGAAUCCAUCCCGAUGUGAAGCAACCCGAGGAUGCUCUGUGACACAGCCAUAAUGGGACCAGACAUUAUGGUCUAUUGUGUUAAUAAUCUGUGAAUUAAAGCAUCCCCCAGCAAGCUGUUAAUGUGAUGGAUUGUAUCAGUGAUGUGCUGUUAAAGGGUCCCCAGUCAACCUUGACACAACAGGCCAGAGCGGUUUGGAAGGCCUGGCAGCUCCAUCAGACAGUUGGGCCGUGCCUGGUGCACAAGAUAAACCUGAUAGGAGAUCACGGGGAGCUUCAGAGGAGGCUGAGGAUGCUCAUCACAUUGCCAGGGAUGGGCCUGAGAGACCAAAAUGCUCAGAAUCCUCUUGACGAAGAAAAGCAGAAGUCUCAGCAUUAAAAAUAGAUGCUUUUUAUCUUGCAUAGGAUACAAAAUCUCUUCUGAUAGGACAUUUUUUUAUGAUAUU